Bombus pyrosoma is the source of this 796-nucleotide long non-coding RNA. RefSeq lists it as uncharacterized. The transcript is spliced from 3 exons. The record is from RefSeq and is a predicted model, not a curated record. Lineage: Eukaryota; Metazoa; Arthropoda; Insecta; Hymenoptera; Apidae.
GGUCGUGUUUGCGCCGGGACACUUUUACCAUCCGGUUGUUUUACUGUUUUAGUUGUAACCAACUGGGGGGUUGAAACUGCGACGGGAGACGCGGCUAGAUAUUUACAGCGCUGGCUAUUUUUUCAAACCCGUGCACUCGUGUUGUCACAGGUGACUGGCUUUAUCGGCGCGGAAUUCGACGCGGCGCGACAUCGAGAGUGGUAAAGAUAGAGGGGAGUCGGACGCGGAGUUCAAGCAUUUUAUGACGUUUUUCUUUGAGUUUAUGAUAGGCUGUGUACGUUUCCAGUACGAUUAUUAUAUAACUCGUGUUGUUAUUUCGACAUCGAAAUUUUUCUAAGGGGAAUAACUCUUCUACGUGGGGAUUUGUAGUGAUAAUAGUAACAUAGUGUCCAGUUAUAAAACGAAGCGCAGAAUUUUGAUAGAAUACUCGAUUUUUACGUAUUUCGGUUGUUGUUGAACGAGUGUAUAUCGACAUAUACCAAUCUAUGUUUAUGACGACCAAACGUAGACUAGUUUAAUCUGCGAUUGAUUUGAAAAUUACUUACAACCAAGUGUGGCACAGCUAGCAGCGAAGAAAGCGAAGAUUUUCACUUACCUAUAACAGAAAAACAUUAUACCAUAUUAGUAAUUGGAAACGAAUGAACGUAUUUCCGCUACACUGUCAGCCAUCGCGUACAAUUGAACAUCGUACUUACCUUUAUAUUACCCGCGUACUUACAAGUGGGCCACACGACACCAAUCGUCCAGGAAUAGACGCGUCUCAUACGAAGUGAAAUUUACCGAUAACGCGUUUACA